RNAcentral lists this ribosomal RNA (513 nucleotides) under uncultured bacterium. RNAcentral describes it as "bacterial SSU rRNA". It matches the Rfam family "Bacterial small subunit ribosomal RNA", at positions 28 to 529 of the family's 1533-position model. The record is from RNAcentral.
GAUGAACGCUAGCGAUAGGCCUAACACAUGCAAGUCGAGGGGCAUCACAUGAAGUAGCAAUACGGAUGGUGGCGACCGGCGCACGGGUGAGUAACACGUAUGCAACCUGCCUUCAACAAGGGGAUAACCCGUUGAAAGACGGACUAAUACCCUAUAACACAGGGGUCCCGCAUGGGAAUAUUUGUUAAAGGACAACCGGUUGAAGAUGGGCAUGCGUUCCAUUAGCUAGUUGGCGGGGUAACGGCCCACCAAGGCAACGAUGGAUAGGGGAACUGAGAGGUUUAUCCCCCACACUGGUACUGAGACACGGACCAGACUCCUACGGGAGGCAGCAGUGAGGAAUAUUGGUCAAUGGACGCAAGUCUGAACCAGCCACGUCGCGUGAAGGAAGACGGCCCUACGGGUUGUAAACUUCUUUUAUACGGGAAUAAAGUGCCCCACGCGUGGGGUUUUGCAUGUACCGUAUGAAUAAGGAUCGGCUAACUCCGUGCCAGCAGCCGCGGUAAAUACUGA